Molecule: ribosomal RNA, 253 nt
Filed under: uncultured bacterium
Lineage: Bacteria
Description: partial 16S ribosomal RNA
Rfam family: Bacterial small subunit ribosomal RNA
Source: RNAcentral
UACGUAGGCAGCAAGCGUUGUUCGGAAUUACUGGGCGUAAAGAGUGUGUAGGCGGUGCUCUAAGUUCGGUGUGAAAUCUCCCGGCUCAACUGGGAGGGUGCGCCGGAAACUGGGGUGCUGGAGCGCGGAAGAGGAAAGCGGAAUUCCUGGUGUAGCGGUGAAAUGCGUAGAUAUCAGGAGGAACACCGGCGGUGUAGACGGCUUUCUGGACCGUAGCUGACGCUGAGACACGAAAGCGUGGGUAGCAAACAGG